AUACGGAGGAUCCGAGCGUUAUCCGGAUUUAUUGGGUUUAAAGGGUGCGCAGGCGGCCAUUUAAGUCAGCGGUUAAAUCGUGGGGCUCAACCCCAUUCUGCCGUUGAUACUGGGUGGCUUGAUUGCGGUCGAGGUUGGCGGAAUUCGUUGUGUAGCGGUGAAAUGCAUAGAUAUGACGAAGAACACCGAUUGCGUAGGCAGCUGACCAGACCGCAAAUGACGCUCAUGCACGAAAGUGCGGGGAUCGAACAGGAUUAGAUACCCUGGUAGUCCGCACAGUAAACGAUGAAUACUUGUUUUCGGCGAUAUAAUGUCGGAGGCAAAGCGAAAGCGAUAAGUAUUCCACCUGGGGAGUACGCCGGCAACGGUGAAACUCAAAGGAAUUGGCGGG
RNAcentral lists this ribosomal RNA (391 nucleotides) under uncultured bacterium. RNAcentral describes it as "partial 16S ribosomal RNA". It matches the Rfam family "Bacterial small subunit ribosomal RNA", at positions 523 to 917 of the family's 1533-position model. The record is from RNAcentral.